This 75-nucleotide transfer RNA is filed under the name Chloroflexi bacterium OLB15. RNAcentral describes it as "tRNA-Pro". It matches the Rfam family "tRNA". From Rfam's summary of the family: Transfer RNA (tRNA) molecules are approximately 80 nucleotides in length. The record is from RNAcentral. Lineage: Bacteria; Bacillati; Chloroflexota.
CGGGGUAUGGCGCAGUUUGGUAGCGCGCUUGCAUGGGGUGCAAGAGGUCCCCGGUUCAAGUCCGGGUACCCCGAC